GUAAUGAGCUCUCUGAAAAGUCUAAAGUUGAAUUUGCUUUAGAUUAUCAGAAAGACGCUGAAGAGACAUCAACACAGGCCUGGAGGGGAGCAAAUACAUACAUUGCUUAUAGAAACACCAAAAAUUCUUACGUGGUUUUUGGAAUAGACUUGACUCCAGGGAUAGUUUUGAGGGAAGAUCACAUGCAUUUGCCUUGGGCUUGACAAGCUGUCAAGGAUUCUUGCCAAGGCUGCCAAGCUCAGCAAGUUCCAGGGAUGGUAUGACACUGAACACUAAA
This 277-nucleotide long non-coding RNA is filed under the name Homo sapiens (human). Its description in RNAcentral is "HSALNT0202528". The record is from RNAcentral. Lineage: Eukaryota; Metazoa; Chordata; Mammalia; Primates; Hominidae.